GACGAACCGAGCGAACGUUGUUCGGAAUCACUGGGCGUAAAGGGCGCGUAGGCGGGAUGGCAAGUCGGUCGUGAAAUCCUUCGGCUCAACCGAAGAACGUCGGCCGAUACUGCCGUUCUUGAGGGAUGCAGAGGAGAUUGGAAUUCCCGGUGUAGCGGUGAAAUGUGUAGAGAUCGGGAGGAACACCGGUGGCGAAGGCGGGUCUCUGGGCAUCUCCUGACGCUGAGGCGCGAAAGCGUGGGGAGCAAACGGG
This 253-nucleotide ribosomal RNA is filed under the name uncultured bacterium. RNAcentral's name for it is "partial 16S ribosomal RNA". It matches the Rfam family "Bacterial small subunit ribosomal RNA", at positions 524 to 776 of the family's 1533-position model. The record is from RNAcentral.